RNAcentral lists this ribosomal RNA (484 nucleotides) under uncultured bacterium. RNAcentral's name for it is "partial 16S ribosomal RNA". It matches the Rfam family "Bacterial small subunit ribosomal RNA", at positions 30 to 507 of the family's 1533-position model. The record is from RNAcentral.
AUUGAACGAGGGAGGAAGGAGGAACACAUGCAAGUCGAGCGGAUGAAGGGAGCUUGCUCCUGGAUUCAGCGGCGGACGGGUGAGUAAUGCCUAGGAAUCUGCCUGGUAGUGGGGGAUAACGUCCGGAAACGGGCGCUAAUACCGCAUACGUCCUGAGGGAGAAAGUGGGGGAUCUUCGGACCUCACGCUAUCAGAUGAGCCUAGGUCGGAUUAGCUAGUUGGUGGGGUAAAGGCCUACCAAGGCGACGAUCCGUAACUGGUCUGAGAGGAUGAUCAGUCACACUGGAACUGAGACACGGUCCAGACUCCUACGGGAGGCAGCAGUGGGGAAUAUUGGACAAUGGGCGAAAGCCUGAUCCAGCCAUGCCGCGUGUGUGAAGAAGGUCUUCGGAUUGUAAAGCACUUUAAGUUGGGAGGAAGGGCAGUAAGUUAAUACCUUGCUGUUUUGACGUUACCAACAGAAUAAGCACCGGCUAACUUCGUG